RNAcentral lists this transfer RNA (72 nucleotides) under Ovis aries (sheep). It matches the Rfam family "tRNA". Rfam says of the family: Transfer RNA (tRNA) molecules are approximately 80 nucleotides in length. Their secondary structure includes four short double-helical elements and three loops (D, anti-codon, and T loops). Further hydrogen bonds mediate the characteristic L-shaped molecular structure. tRNAs have two regions of fundamental functional importance: the anti-codon, which is responsible for specific mRNA codon recognition, and the 3' end, to which the tRNAs corresponding amino acid is attached (by aminoacyl-tRNA synthetases). tRNAs cope with the degeneracy of the genetic code in two manners: having more than one tRNA (with a specific anti-codon) for a particular amino acid; and 'wobble' base-pairing, i.e. permitting non-standard base-pairing at the 3rd anti-codon position. The record is from Rfam by way of RNAcentral. Lineage: Eukaryota; Metazoa; Chordata; Mammalia; Artiodactyla; Bovidae.
UUCCGGGUGGCUCAGAAGUUAAAGCAUCUGCCUACAAUGCAGGAGACCUGGGUUUGAUCCCUGGGUCGGGAA